GUGAGUGUCGUCAAAAUUUUAUCCAUUUUUUAUUUUCUUCACAUUUUUAGUAAAAUGACUAUUCAGACAAGCUUAAAAAAUAGAUAAAUUGGUUUCAUAACAUUUGGAUUCUAGAGGCUUGUCAUGCACUGCAAGUCUACAUGUUGAUCCAUUUGAACCAAUGCAUGAGCUCAGUCGAAUUCACAUCAAUGUCCUUUAACACUGCAGGCAAUGAAACAAAAGGAGUUGCACUGGUUGGGAGGCAUGGAGAGUUCAAGUACUAUCUGGGAUACUACUUACAUUGCUAAUAAGUUAACGUCUGGUCCUAAUACUAGGAUUCCCAGCUAUCUUAGUUUCAAGCCCUGUAUGCUGAUUUGAUUGAAGGUGGAAAUGGGACUCCUUUUGGUGCUUAAGUAAUAACUCAAUGAUAGCGGGAACUGGUUGAAUUAUCAAUAUACAUUUGGGCAUAGAGCAUGAGGAUGUAUGAAACUUCUGAACACUUUCAGGUUGUCUAUAAAUUAACAGUCUUGGCCACUUAAGAAAAGUGAAUUGCAACUAAAUUGUUGAAAAUGCAGUUCUACGAUUAAGUACUUUGCUGAAAUUUUCAGGUUGUCGGACAAACUGCAACUAUGAACAGUAUGCCUCAUUUGACUCUUGUGGGGGUAGAGCGAUAAAAUAAACAUGUCAUCACUAGGCGAGUUCAAACACUGGAUGGCAAGGCGAUCAUCUAUUUGAAUACACUUAUUCGUUUCAAGGAGGUAGAAGGCGGUGCAGAAGCUGCAGUUUUGACCCCACUUGUGCUAGCCAAUUUUUUUUCUUUGAGAUUUGUGCCAGCCAAUUUGGGUAUGAUGCUCACGGAGGCCAUUCUACGUAGCUGAUGGACUGUCAUGUCUAUAUAAUUCUUAUAUAGCUGACAAUUCAAUCAUGAAAUGCUAGGGCUCCAUGGAAGGAAAAGGAAAAUGCGUCUGCAAAAUCAGUAGAUUUUGUGAUGGAAGGAUUGGUAGAUUUGAUAUUAUCUUACAACCUAUAAGAACACCGAAUGUGUGAAACAACAUUCGUUAUUGUCCAGCAACGCGACCAUAAAUCCACAAUGAUUGCAACACUGUAUUUAUUUGACCAUAUAUUUUCAGAAUAUUUCAUGUUUUGUUUAUAUAUACUUAUGAUACUUAGUUUAAG
RNAcentral lists this long non-coding RNA (1155 nucleotides) under Triticum aestivum (bread wheat). RNAcentral's name for it is "long non-coding RNA (TAES_LNC005945)". Lineage: Eukaryota; Viridiplantae; Streptophyta; Magnoliopsida; Poales; Poaceae. The record is from RNAcentral.